Molecule: ribosomal RNA, 552 nt
Filed under: uncultured bacterium
Lineage: Bacteria
Description: bacterial SSU rRNA
Rfam family: Bacterial small subunit ribosomal RNA
Source: RNAcentral
AAUAGAUACCCGGGUAGUCCACGCUGUAAACGAUGAGGACUAGAUGUUGGGUAGGGAACCUAUCGGUAUCGAAGCAAACGCGAUAAGUCUUCCGCCUGGGAAGUACGGCCGCAAGGUUGAAACUCAAAUGAAUUGACGGGGGCCCGGCACAAGCGGUGGAGCAUGUGGUUUAAUUCGAUGCAACGCGAAGAACCUUACCUACCCUUGACAUCCUAGGAACCCUGCAGAGACGUAGGGGUGCCGAAAGGAACCUAGAGACAGGUGCUGCAUGGCUGUCGUCAGCUCGUGUUGUGAGAUGUUGGGUUAAGUCCCGUAACGAGCGCAACCCUUGCCCUUAGUUGCCAGCAUUAAGUUGGGGACUCUAAGGGGACUGCCGGUGAUGAACCGGAGGAAGGCGGGGACGACGUCAAGUCAUCAUGGCCUUUAUGGGUAGGGCUACACACGUGCUACAAUGGGGCGUACAGAGGGUAGCCAACCCGGCGAGGGGGAGCCAAUCUCAGAAAGCGUCUCGUAGUCCGGAUUGGAGUCUGCAACUCGACUCCAUGAAGUUGG